Molecule: ribosomal RNA, 465 nt
Filed under: uncultured bacterium
Lineage: Bacteria
Description: bacterial SSU rRNA
Rfam family: Bacterial small subunit ribosomal RNA
Source: RNAcentral
CCUACGGGGGGCACCAGUGGGGAAUAUUGCACAAUGGGCGCAAGCCUGAUGCAGCCAUGCCGCGUGUAUGAAGAAGGCCAUCGGGUUGUAAAGUACUUUCAGCGGGGAGGAAGGCGAUAAGGUUAAUAACCUUGUCGAUUGACGUUACCCGCAGAAGAAGCACCGGCUAACUCCGUGCCAGCAGCCGCGGUAAUACGGAGGGUGCAAGCGUUAAUCGGAAUUACUGGGCGUAAAGCGCACGCAGGCGGUCUGUCAAGUCGGAUGUGAAAUCCCCGGGCUCAACCUGGGAACUGCAUUCGAAACUGGCAGGCUAGAGUCUUGUAGGGGGGGGUAGAAUUCCGGGUGUAGCGGUGAAAUGCGUAGAGAUCUGGAGGAAUACCGGUGGCGAAGGCGGCCCCCUGGACAAAGACUGACGCUCAGGUGCAAAAGCGUGGGGAGCGAACAGGAUUAGAUACCCCUGUAGUC